CCCCCUCAAAGUUCCUGGCUCAGCUGGAUUUCCACUUGGACAACCUGGUGAAGUUGGUCAACAGAAGAGGAGAGCUUGGACUAAUACUGGAAAGAAUUGUGGCACAAAUGGAUAAUUGUGAAGAUGUUGAUGCUGGACGUGAGUGUGUCAAGGGAGUGUGUAUCUACAUGGGUGAAGACCCUGGCAUGCUUAUCCGGGAGUAUGUGGUAUGUACUUGUCUUUUUUCUUUUCUUUUUUUCGGACUUUCCACAGUGUGUCAUAUUACUUACUUGGCAUGAAAUGACUAACAUGGCUUCUUUUUUACAGGGCAUGGAAGAACGUGCCAUCAAUGAGACUGUUGAAGACACCACUGUUCGAAUUUAUCUUAAAGAGCAAGCUUCAGCAGAAGAACAAGAGUUGUCCUUGCAGGCAUCAGGGUGGCGAAGAAUUUGGAUAAUGUAGCAUUUGCUGUGAUAAUGCUAUUUGGACUCAUGUAUGCAUUAAACCUUGCCUACCCUGCUGACCUCCGCUACACCUUUGACGUUUUCCAGAAGGUUUUCAUGGAACUGGAUGGAGCUAAACUCUCUAAAGUUCUUGCUUUUAAAAACCAUCUGUUUCAUUGAGAAGUCAAAGACAGCACUUCUGCAAUUCUUUGCAGUUUUUCAUUUUGUGUUCAGUAACGUUAUACUGCUUAUGUUUUUAUUGCUUUCCCCUCAUGUGACUGCAAUGCAGGAAGAUUUUUCCUUUUGGUAUCAUGUUGUAAGAAAUUUUUACUGACGAUUUUUAGCAAUAUGUUCUGAGUCAACCUUAAUGUCCUGCUUACAUGUUUAAAAGGAAGAUUAAGAUUCAUGUAGGUGUUUGGUAUUAGUUAUGUAACAAUAUCAUUUAAGGCUCAACUUAGUUGAA
Long non-coding RNA from Oreochromis aureus, 885 nucleotides. Lineage: Eukaryota; Metazoa; Chordata; Actinopteri; Cichliformes; Cichlidae. The record is from Ensembl.